Molecule: long non-coding RNA, 1659 nt
Filed under: Lathyrus oleraceus (garden pea)
Lineage: Eukaryota; Viridiplantae; Streptophyta; Magnoliopsida; Fabales; Fabaceae
Description: Pisum sativum (pea) long non-coding RNA (PSAT_LNC020136)
Source: RNAcentral
GGGAAAAAAACUAAUCUCUCAUCCUUUUACUUCUCUCUCAGACUCUCUUACUACUAACACACAAAUAUUCAUUUUUUCUUAACAAAACUGAUCAAAACUUACUUUUGUCCAAGAACACCAUGAACAUACCUCGAAAACAUUUAAAUGUUCUUGAGGUCAAAACCCAUAAUCCCUAAGUUCAAACCAAAUAACGAAAUAACAAACCAUACCCCCCCUCAAAUCUGCUACCCUAAACACAAAUCCAAAUAUAAAAUCAACAAAAACGUAAAUAAUCACACAGAUUAAAGACCCUCAGUCCCACAAAACCCUAACCUCAAAUUCAUUAUGUUCAGUCCGAUUUAUAUAUUUACAAGCAUGAAAGGAUCUAAAAGAAACAAUUAAUAACAAAGGAGUGAGGAAAAACAAAUGAAAAGCUACCAAAGGUGUCUUCGGCGGGUCCCUGAACUCCAGCACGACGGUGCGAUUUCCAGCGAGCAAGAAAAAGGUACCUCAUUUUUCCUUUUUUUUUAUCAUUUUACUCUCUCUCUCUCUCUCUCUCUCUCUCUCUCUCUCUCUCUCUCUCUUCUUCUUCUUCUUCUUCUUCUUCUUCUUCUUCUUCUUCUUCUUCUUUACUCUUCUUAUAAUCAACCUUUCCUUGUUUGCUUGUGGUGACAUUGUGAGUGUGGAAAAUAUGGGUUUUAGCUCACCAUUUAGAGAUUUAAUGUGAAGCUCUAAGUAAUUUUAGGAAUAGAGCUCUAAGUGGGAUUAGGGAAGGUGAUUAGAAGAGAAUGAAGAUUGUUUAAGAUGCUUAGAAUUAGGUUUUUUUUUCCUGUCCAGAGUAAUAAUGAAUGGAGUGAUUUAUAGAAAUUGUGUAUGUGAGAAACAAAAUGGGAUAUGUGUGAAGGGAAAGAAUCAAAGAAGAUAUUUUGUGAGGGAUUGAUACAACUCGUGUGGGAAAAGUAUGAACUCAUUUGAUCAGGAUUGAGCUGUUAGAGGGGACCAAACAAUCUCUUAUUUAGUGGGAUUUUUUAGUGAGUGGAAUUGAAGGAAUUGAGUGAGGUGCAGUUACAUCAUGUGCAAGAACUUUUCCUUUUUCUUUCUUUGUUUAACUGGUGAUGUUUGUGGUAAAUUAACUCAUGAUUCUUCUUUUUUCGCUGCUAUAAAUUAUUGUAGCCAUUGAGACUUAUUGUUCAAGUUAUUUUGCUUUGCUCUCUUUUCUUUUAUUCAAUUAGGGUUAUGCACAUGUGACAUCAAAGAGGGCCUAAUUCUAAUGGAUCAUUUUUCCUUUUGAUGACGUUUUUAAAUAGGACUUGCUCAUAUGCGUGAUUAGCUUGAGAGCUUUAGGACAUGAUGGAGAAGAUUUUGUUUUUUUUUAAGAUUUGGCCUAUUGAACUACCAAGUGUGUAAUUUUACAUAUUUGGAUAUCAAGUAGACAAGUCCUUUUUAUUACCUUUGUACUUCAUUCAUUUUUUUGUAAGCCUUUUUUUAGUACUUGUUAUCUUGAAUCUGUCACGGCUUGUGCCAUUGUGUCUUUGCACCAAUAUUUGUAAUUUGAAAAUGUCAUUGGCAUGGCCUUUGUAUCUUUGUGCCAACAAUGUACUUUGUUUUUAAAAUUGAUUCAUAUUUGGAAUGGAAUUCAAAUUCCUUUGUAAAUUCAAUGCAACAUAUAAUUGAAACUAC